UGCAAGUCGAGGGGUAACAGGGAAAAGCUUGCUUUUUUGCUGACGACCGGCGAACGGGUGCGUAACGCGUAUAGAAUCUGCCUUGUACAGGAGGAUAGCCUCUUAGAAAUGAAGAUUAAUACUCCAUAAUGUUGAGAGAUGGCAUCAUCUUUUAAUUAAAGAUUUAUCGGUACAAGAUGACUAUGCGUCCUAUUAGCUAGAUGGUAAGGUAACGGCUUACCAUGGCAACGAUAGGUAGGGGGUCUGAGAGGAUUAUCCCCCACACUGGUACUGAGACACGGACCAGACUCCUACGGGAGGCAGCAGUGAGGAAUAUUGGUCAAUGGAGGCAACUCUGAAC
Molecule: ribosomal RNA, 340 nt
Filed under: marine bacterium SIMO-IS129
Lineage: Bacteria; Pseudomonadati; Bacteroidota
Description: bacterial SSU rRNA
Rfam family: Bacterial small subunit ribosomal RNA
Source: RNAcentral